Helianthus annuus (common sunflower) is the source of this 1962-nucleotide long non-coding RNA. RefSeq lists it as uncharacterized. The record is from RefSeq and is a predicted model, not a curated record. NCBI's taxonomy places the organism in Eukaryota, Viridiplantae, Streptophyta, Magnoliopsida, Asterales, Asteraceae. The transcript has 6 exons.
CUAUGACCUGAUUAUAUUUAUACGCAGUUUUCCAAAACCCUAGAGCCUUCAUCUCCAUUUUCCUUCAUCUUUAAUCUCCUCAUUCUUCUCCUUCACGUUGCUUACAGAACCUCUUCCUGAUGUUCAUCUUCUCCUUCUAAUUCAACUCCUGUAAUCCAUCUGGUGGUUCACUCUAUCAACAAACCCUAAUGAAUCCACCCAUAAAUAACAUGCCAAUCAAUCCGUUCUUUUAAUUUCUUCACUCCUUUUUCAAACCCUAAAAACUCUGGUGGCACAUACCUGCACUGUGAUUCUUUCUAACCCUAACGGAGGCAAGAAACAGAUCCAACAAUGGAGAAGUACAUAGUACGAUAGCAUUUCCGUGGCACUUCAACCGCCUCUUCCUCUCACUGUCAUGGUCGUCAUCUCUCCUAUAGACGCCAUUGAAUCGAGGAUAAAUCACUGACAUCAGAAGAAACGGAAUUUGAUUUAAUCGUCUGUGGCUGAGGCCUGAGGAUUUGUUACGGCGGAGGUAGCGUGUUGUGGGCAUGAACAAUACAAUGAAAUUGGAGUAUCCAAAUCGGUUUGAAUUUGUGUCCAAGCAGAGAUAUAUACGCGUUCUGGGAUCCUUUUUGUUUAUGUUGAUGCGGCCAAAUUCGUGUUAACUUGGCCGAGUCCAUGUAUAUAUACGCUGCAACAUCAUCUAAUCGUCAUUUAAGGGUUGUGGAGUUAAACCUUGGAUCACUUCAUUCAUAAAUUCAUGUUAACUUGGCCGAGUCCAUGAUAACCGCGUCUCCUUAGAAUCCGACGACCAGGAUGACAAAUCCGGGAUUGAACAUUCAAGAAGCACAUGCUUUUUCCUCGGCUGGUGGCUUCUUAUUGGAUGUAUUUGUUGUUGAUGGCCUCAUGAGGUCUAAUCUUAGUUGUCUUGAGCAAUGUGUUUGAAUUUUGAAAACAUUGGUACAAUGAUCUGUUAUUGGCAACUUUUAGGAAAUUGAAAAGCUCAAAAAUGCAAUAGAGAAUGAUAUAUUGAAGGCUAGGGGAGGCUCAUAGUGGUAAAAAUUCUUCAUCCACUAAAUGCAGAAGUAUUCCAACAUCAAGUGACCUUGUGCCCUCAAAUGAUUAUGUAAAAGUACCUACUUAUGGAACUGAGGUAUUGGAAAUUGAUGCCAAGCUGCUGAAAUUCUUAUAGAGGGAUGUUGAAUAAACGAUACUGGUAACAUCGUUUUAAUAUGAUAAAUAUUUAGAGAUUAUGAUUAUUUGUAUAUAUACGUGAGUUAUAUUUGUAAUCUCACUUCAUUAUUACUUUAUUUAAUAUGAAACUUUUUUUUUAAUCUAUACAGUAAUGACCGGAAACACUUAAUGUCAAAAUAAUGGAUGUAGGCUUUACGUUUACAUUUCGGAUGGGUCACUUUGUUUGUCCGAAAUGUUUAAGAAAGAUGAUUUCAGGAUUAUGAUUAUAAUCGUUUUAACUAUAAUAAGAAAGUUUAUGUCAAACUAUUAUUUCUCUGCACCACCGUCCUCACUUACUUGACUCUUAGGAAGACAACCUCUAGAGGAUCCGAGGUAACAGUUGCAUGAAUGGCGUAUUUUCCUUUUUUAUUUUGAUCACUUUGUUUUAAAUAGAUGUGCUUUUUAAGUGGGAGUUAAUGUUUUUAUUUCUAUAGACAUUGUUGUCGAAUUAGAUAUCCCAUUAGUGAAGAAAAGUUCAAGUGAACCUAUAUUCAAGCGACCACGCGCGUCUCCAAACACCAUCGCCAUUACCGAAAUUUAAGAAGGGACUCGAUUUACUAAGAGAAAUGUUUUGGCAACUCGAAGGAUAUGCAUUUUAAAGGGAUUCGACUGUCUUUAAAUUGUAUUUCCACUUUGUCACUAAUUCAUGCAACAUACCACUUUGUUUGUAUUUUUUUUAUUUGCAUACUUAAUAUUUAUCUAAUUAAUUUUUCCCAGCCCGGGAAGCAAUCCCGGGUGAUAACCUAGUAA